AGAACUUUGAAGAGAGAGUUCAAUAGUACGUGAAACCGUUCAGGGGUAAACCUGAGAAACCCAAAAGAUCGAAUGGGGAGAUUCAUCGUCAGCCGGCUUGGCUUCCGUGCGGUUCGCGAUGAUCGGGGCUUCGGCUCUCGCGUCACGCAAUCGCUGCGGUAUGUCCGAGUCGCGCCGGCGUGCACUUCUUCCCUAGUAGGACGUCGCGAUUCGUUGGGUGUCGGUUUACGGACCGGUAGGUAGCCUGGCGAGUAUUGCGUUCACGCGUAUUUACUUGCCAGACCUCCGGAUUUUCCCAACCGGCUGCCCGGCGAUAUAAAACGAUAAUCCAAUGGCAUUGAGCCGCGUUGAACGCGUUUACGGCUCGUCGGCAGAUUCGUCUCGCUCGGAUUUACGGACCCAGUGCCGUGUUCGGGUGCUUGACGGGUCGUUCGCCGGCGAUGUCCUCGAACAGGCUCUAAAUAUUCUUAUAGAAUAUGCCGAUCGGCGACGCUACUGCUUUGGGUACUUUCAGGACCCGUCUUG
RNAcentral lists this ribosomal RNA (525 nucleotides) under Encarsia citrina. RNAcentral describes it as "partial large subunit ribosomal RNA". Lineage: Eukaryota; Metazoa; Arthropoda; Insecta; Hymenoptera; Aphelinidae. The record is from RNAcentral.